CGGAUUGUAGUCUGCAACCCGACUACAUGAAGCUGGAAUCGCUAGUAAUCGCGGAUCAGAAUGCCGCGGUGAAUACGUUCCCGGGUCUUGUACACACCGCCCGUCACACCAUGGGAGUCGGAAAUGCCCGAAGUCUGUGACCCAACCUUAGGGAGGGAGCAGCCGAAGGCAGGUCGGAUGACUGGGGUGAAGUCGUAACAAGGUAUC
Molecule: ribosomal RNA, 207 nt
Filed under: uncultured bacterium
Lineage: Bacteria
Description: partial 16S ribosomal RNA
Rfam family: Bacterial small subunit ribosomal RNA
Source: RNAcentral